Acipenser ruthenus (sterlet) is the source of this 1024-nucleotide long non-coding RNA. RefSeq lists it as uncharacterized. The transcript is spliced from 6 exons. The record is from RefSeq and is a predicted model, not a curated record. NCBI's taxonomy places the organism in Eukaryota, Metazoa, Chordata, Actinopteri, Acipenseriformes, Acipenseridae.
GGAUUGAUGUGUGGAAAGAGUCAAAACCCUCAAAAGAAGAAGAAUAAAAAACGUGCUGCCAAGUUGUAGCAGGUGAAAUCAAUUACCACCAUCAGUUACUGGUAUCUUUAUUUCAUUCGUCAUUGAUAUGUUGGCGAUACAAAUGCUGUAUUCAAGAAAACAAAUUUACACAAUGUAGACGAACUAUUAUUGAAUAGAAUACCAUUAAAGUAUUUUAUUUUUGCAAUACCUGUGUUUUUAACACUACACUGCGCAGGAAUAACGUGAGAUCCCAAAUGCAAACAGGAGGACGAAAUCACGAGGAAAGAGGACAACCCAAGCUGGCUUUUGCACAGACAUUCUCAUAACCUCGUAGAAAAAAUAACCCGACAAAAGUAAUUCAUGAAGUUCUAUUAUAAAAAAAAAAAAAAAACAGUUCCCACGAUACACGUGGAAAGCUAAGUACUUAAGCGCUUUAAAUAUUUCUGUGAGCCUUGUUGCCCUUCGCUUCGGUUUCGUUUGUUCCGGUGAGCCUCUCGCAGGGUUUUUAGACUCCGCACCUACACAGCACUGAAACUUCAUAGACUUGGAAAAGUUUAAUGUGGCAGGUUGUUAAAUUCAUAGCCUAUAACGCAUUAUACCCAGCAGAAUCAGCUAAUUUAAUCUGAGAGGCAUAACACCCCGCACCACAGCUACUAAAACAGUCAUGAUGAUACUAAUUCAAUGGAUAUGUAUCGCCUCUUUAAAAAGGCACAGCUAGGAACCGAAUAACACCUGAAUAUAACAAAGAACAAAGAUUUCCAGCACAAUGAAAGCAGGACAGAUGAAGAAAUUGAUGUACCCAUGUACAUUUAAGAGGGAUUCACCAGGAUUUAAAUCCACUGGACCAAGAAGACGUUUGACAGGCGUGAUCACUGAAAAUGUAUUUGACAGACUAAUUUGGCUCGACAGACCGUUGUGCAAAUAUUACUGCAAGUGUUAGAAAGCCUGCCGCACACAGCCUGACUCAAGCCGUCCCGACUCAUCUCAUCUCAACUGGCCGUAC